AACGAACGCUGGCGGCAGGCCUAACACAUGCAAGUCGAACGCCCCGCAAGGGGAGUGGCAGACGGGUGAGUAACGCGUGGGAACCUACCUAGUGGUACGGAACAACUCGGGGAAACUUGAGCUAAUACCGUAUACGCCCUCAGGGGGAAAGAUUUAUCGCCAUUAGAUGGGCCCGCGUCGGAUUAGCUUGUUGGUGAGGUAAUGGCUCACCAAGGCGACGAUCCGUAGCUGGUCUGAGAGGAUGAUCAGCCACACUGGGACUGAGACACGGCCCAGACUCCUACGGGAGGCAGCAGUGAGGAAUAUUGGACAAUGGGCGAAAGCCUGAUCCAGCCAUGCCGCGUGAGUGAAGAAGGCCUUAGGGUUGUAAAGCUCUUUCGACGGGGAAGAUAAUGACGGUACCCGUAGAAGAAGCCCCGGCUAACUUCGUGCCAGCCGCCACCGUAA
RNAcentral lists this ribosomal RNA (447 nucleotides) under uncultured bacterium. RNAcentral's name for it is "partial 16S ribosomal RNA". It matches the Rfam family "Bacterial small subunit ribosomal RNA", at positions 29 to 523 of the family's 1533-position model. The record is from RNAcentral.